This 604-nucleotide long non-coding RNA is filed under the name Heterocephalus glaber (naked mole-rat). Its description in RNAcentral is "lncRNA (ENSHGLG00000045891.1)". The record is from RNAcentral. Lineage: Eukaryota; Metazoa; Chordata; Mammalia; Rodentia; Bathyergidae.
GGAGGAUUGGAGAAGGACCCCAAAAAUGAGCCUGAGAAGGAGCAGCCAGUGAAAUAGGAAGAAAGCAAUGGAAAGCUAACACAACUGGAAAUUUCCCAAAGUCUCACCGUCUGCAGGGUAUCAUGCAGACACACUGUACCCUGGGAUGGACUCAAGACCUCAGGAAACAGCCUGACUGAUCUCUGAGGCCCUGGGACAAGACUGCACUCACUGGACACAAGGGCAUCUGAGGCCCUGUAAUCCCUUCAUGAGGUCAGAUGUGCCUGAGAAGCAAAGGGUUAGUGCUGACUGGUGCCAUGAUCAUCAUGCUCAACUGGACUGUGUGUUCUGUCCAGAUCAAGGUGGGCAGGAGGAUGGGUACAGAGCAAGGAGCCCCACUGGGAAGCCACCAGGGAAGCACAGCUGUAAACCAACACCCAUCCUCAUGUCCUCCAAGAACUCCCACCUAUUUCACCGCCAGCUGAGAGGCUGGGACUCACUUGGCAGGUGCCAAGCAGUUUGGCUGAGUGCAUAAAGGAUGUAAUAUAAUCGAUGUCUGUUAUGUGUACAUCUGUAUUUGCCGUUUAUCCUGUGUGGUAAUAAAAGCAGCUGACGUUUAUUGAAG